This 93-nucleotide transfer RNA is filed under the name Podiceps cristatus (great crested grebe). It matches the Rfam family "tRNA". Rfam says of the family: Transfer RNA (tRNA) molecules are approximately 80 nucleotides in length. Their secondary structure includes four short double-helical elements and three loops (D, anti-codon, and T loops). Further hydrogen bonds mediate the characteristic L-shaped molecular structure. tRNAs have two regions of fundamental functional importance: the anti-codon, which is responsible for specific mRNA codon recognition, and the 3' end, to which the tRNAs corresponding amino acid is attached (by aminoacyl-tRNA synthetases). tRNAs cope with the degeneracy of the genetic code in two manners: having more than one tRNA (with a specific anti-codon) for a particular amino acid; and 'wobble' base-pairing, i.e. permitting non-standard base-pairing at the 3rd anti-codon position. Lineage: Eukaryota; Metazoa; Chordata; Aves; Podicipediformes; Podicipedidae. The record is from Rfam by way of RNAcentral.
GGAAUAGUACUCAAGCGAUUUAAGAGGACAGCUUGGAAAGUUGUUAGGUAGGGAGUGUAUCUCUAUGCGAAGGUUUGAAUCCUUUCUAUUCCG